This 253-nucleotide ribosomal RNA is filed under the name uncultured bacterium. RNAcentral describes it as "partial 16S ribosomal RNA". It matches the Rfam family "Bacterial small subunit ribosomal RNA", at positions 524 to 776 of the family's 1533-position model. The record is from RNAcentral.
UACAGAGGGCUCAAGCGUUGGUCGGAUUCAUUGGGCGUAAAGGGUGCGUAGGCGGCGCGGUAAGUCGGGUGGGAAAUCUCGGAGCUUAACUCCGAAACUGCAUUCGAUACUGCCGUGCUUGAGGACUGGAGAGGAGACUGGAAUUUACGGUGUAGCGGUGAAAUGCGUAGAUAUCGUAAGGAAGACCAGUGGCGAAGGCGGGUCUCUGGACAGUUCCUGACGCUGAGGCACGAAGGUCAGGGGAGCAAACGGG